This 676-nucleotide ribosomal RNA is filed under the name uncultured Bacteroidales bacterium. RNAcentral describes it as "bacterial SSU rRNA". It matches the Rfam family "Bacterial small subunit ribosomal RNA", at positions 67 to 733 of the family's 1533-position model. Lineage: Bacteria; Pseudomonadati; Bacteroidota; Bacteroidia; Bacteroidales. The record is from RNAcentral.
GGGCAGCAUGAACUUAGCUUGCUAAGUUUGAUGGCGACCGGCGCACGGGUGAGUAACACGUAUCCAACCUGCCGAUGACUCGGGGAUAGCCUUUCGAAAGAAAGAUUAAUACCCGAUGGCAUAGUUCUUCCGCAUGGUGGAACUAUUAAAGAAUUUCGGUCAUCGAUGGGGAUGCGUUCCAUUAGGUUGUUGGCGGGGUAACGGCCCACCAAGCCUUCGAUGGAUAGGGGUUCUGAGAGGAAGGUCCCCCACAUUGGAACUGAGACACGGUCCAAACUCCUACGGGAGGCAGCAGUGAGGAAUAUUGGUCAAUGGACGAGAGUCUGAACCAGCCAAGUAGCGUGAAGGAUGACUGCCCUAUGGGUUGUAAACUUCUUUUAUACGGGAAUAAAGUGAGGCACGCGUGCCUUUUUGUAUGUACCGUAUGAAUAAGGAUCGGCUAACUCCGUGCCAGCAGCCGCGGUAAUACGGAGGAUCCGAGCGUUAUCCGGAUUUAUUGGGUUUAAAGGGAGCGUAGGCGGACGCUUAAGUCAGUUGUGAAAGUUUGCGGCUCAACCGUAAAAUUGCAGUUGAUACUGGGUGUCUUAAGUACAGUAGAGGCAGGCGGAAUUCGUGGUGUAGCGGUGAAAUGCUUAGAUAUCACGAAGAACUCCGAUUGCGAAGGCAGCUUGCUGGA